UAGUUGGGCAAAACCUUUAUUAAGGAGAGGAGUUAUAGAAGAAAUAGUUGAUCCAAUGCUACAAGGGACAUUUGAUUGUACACAACUUCAUAAACUUGCCUUUGCUGCUUCUCUUUGCAUUCGUGCUUCUUCUAUAUGGCGCCCUACCAUGAGCGAGAUUGUAGAGAUAAUAUUGGGAGGUGAAGUUGAUAAACAGAAGUGGAAAAUGCCAGAAGAGGAAGAAGAAGAACAAGA
Molecule: unclassified non-coding RNA, 234 nt
Filed under: Hevea brasiliensis (rubber tree)
Lineage: Eukaryota; Viridiplantae; Streptophyta; Magnoliopsida; Malpighiales; Euphorbiaceae
Source: RNAcentral